CAGGGUAUAGCUCAGUGGUUGAGUGUGUGCUUAGCAAGCCCGAGGUCCUGGGUUCAAUCUUCAGUACCUUCA
RNAcentral lists this transfer RNA (72 nucleotides) under Camelus bactrianus (Bactrian camel). It matches the Rfam family "tRNA". From Rfam's summary of the family: Transfer RNA (tRNA) molecules are approximately 80 nucleotides in length. Their secondary structure includes four short double-helical elements and three loops (D, anti-codon, and T loops). Lineage: Eukaryota; Metazoa; Chordata; Mammalia; Artiodactyla; Camelidae. The record is from Rfam by way of RNAcentral. RNAcentral also lists the same sequence under 2 other names.